This is a long non-coding RNA of Hippocampus zosterae (dwarf seahorse), 786 nucleotides long. RefSeq lists it as uncharacterized. The transcript has 2 exons. The record is from RefSeq and is a predicted model, not a curated record. Lineage: Eukaryota; Metazoa; Chordata; Actinopteri; Syngnathiformes; Syngnathidae.
GUAUGUGUGGGUGCGCGUGUGUGUAGAAAAAGAAAACGACUGACCACUUCUAGGCUUUUCUCUUCCAUCUCAUAAACGGUGAAAUCCUGUGAGGGCAAAACAUAAACCAAACGGGUCAUCAUCACACACCUGUCAAUCCAGGCCAGCAGACUCUUGGCGGCGGCGAUGAGCUCCACCACGGCAGUAAGGAAGUCAUUGGAGGGCCGGUGGGCGCCGCUGCUGUGAUAGGCGGGGUUCUUCCGACGCUGCGACACGGCGCCGCUCAGGUCGCGGUAGGCCAGCCUCAUCCUGCCCACCAGCGUUUUCAGUUUGUCCGACUCCACGCCGUUGUUCUUCUCCCAGGGAAAGCAACGAGCAGCACAAAAGACUCAUUUUGGAUGGAAGAAGAUGGAAAACUGCUGCCAAGUAGUCAGCGCAUGUCAGUUUUUGCUAUCGUCUAUAGUGCUAUUCGAAUCGGAUCAUUACCGGGUACUUUCAGAGAGUCCUUUUCUAUCGAGUGGAAUAUUUCUUGUGAUGUAAAAGAGAUUUGGGUGGGGGGUUUUUUCUAUCUGUAAGAAAACAUUUGCCUUCCAGUCAACCACGACGAUGGCGUACCAACGCACAGAGCAGGUCGACAGCCUCCAUCAUGAGCUCCUGAUGGCCCACCCUGAGCACGCCCAGCGCACUCAGUUCCUGGUGUGUCAUCUUCAAAAGCUUCUCGCCAUCCACCUGCUGCCACCUGAAGGCCGGGAGGUACUGCUGCAGGCUGUCGUCCAGACCUCAAUGACAAAAAUAAAAUAAAUAAAU